GAGAACUUGAACACAGGUGCUGCAUGGCCGUCGUCAGCUCGUGUCGUGAGAUGUUGGGUUAAGUCCCGCAACGAGCGCAACCCUUGUCAUUAGUUGCUACGCAAGAGCACUCUAAUGAGACUGCCGGUGACAAACCGGAGGAAGGUGGGGAUGACGUCAGGUCCUCAUGGCCCUUAUGGGUAGGGCUACACACGUCAUACAAUGGCCGGUACAGAGGGCUGCCAACCCGCGAGGGGGAGCCAAUCCCAGAAAACCGGUCGUAGUCCGGAUCGUAGUCUGCAACUCGACUGCGUGAAGUCGGAAUCGCUAGUAAUCGUGGAUCAGCAUGUCACGGUGAAUACGUUCCCGGGUCUUGUACACACCGCCCGUCACACCAUGGGA
RNAcentral lists this ribosomal RNA (381 nucleotides) under uncultured bacterium. RNAcentral's name for it is "bacterial SSU rRNA". It matches the Rfam family "Bacterial small subunit ribosomal RNA", at positions 1022 to 1409 of the family's 1533-position model. The record is from RNAcentral.